Molecule: ribosomal RNA, 1276 nt
Filed under: Escherichia coli
Lineage: Bacteria; Pseudomonadati; Pseudomonadota; Gammaproteobacteria; Enterobacterales; Enterobacteriaceae
Description: partial 23S ribosomal RNA
Rfam family: Bacterial large subunit ribosomal RNA
Source: RNAcentral
GGGUUGUGAGGUUAAGCGACUAAGCGUACACGGUGGAUGCCCUGGCAGUCAGAGGCGAUGAAGGACGUGCUAAUCUGCGAUAAGCGUCGGUGAGGUGAUAUGAACCGUUAUAACCGGCGAUUUCCGAAUGGGGAAACCCAGUGUGUUUCGACACACUAUCAUUAACUGAAUCCAUAGGUUAAUGAGGCGAACCGGGGGAACUGAAACAUCUAAGUACCCCGAGGAAAAGAAAUCAACCGAGAUUCCCCCAGUAGCGGCGAGCGAACGGGGAGGAGCCCAGAGCCUGAAUCAGUGUGUGUGUUAGUGGAAGCGUCUGGAAAGGCGCGCGAUACAGGGUGACAGCCCCGUACACAAAAAUGCACAUAUUGUGAGCUCGAUGAGUAGGGCGGGACACGUGGUAUCCUGUCUGAAUAUGGGGGGACCAUCCUCCAAGGCUAAAUACUCCUGACUGACCGAUAGUGAACCAGUACCGUGAGGGAAAGGCGAAAAGAACCCCGGCGAGGGGAGUGAAAAAGAACCUGAAACCGUGUACGUACAAGCAGUGGGAGCCUCUUAAUGGGGUGACUGCGUACCUUUUGUAUAAUGGGUCAGCGACUUAUAUUCUGUAGCAAGGUUAACCGAAUAGGGGAGCCGAAGGGAAACCGAGUCUUAACUGGGCGUUAAGUUGCAGGGUAUAGACCCGAAACCCGGUGAUCUAGCCAUGGGCAGGUUGAAGGUUGGGUAACACUAACUGGAGGACCGAACCGACUAAUGUUGAAAAAUUAGCGGAUGACUUGUGGCUGGGGGUGAAAGGCCAAUCAAACCGGGAGAUAGCUGGUUCUCCCCGAAAGCUAUUUAGGUAGCGCCUCGUGAAUUCAUCUCCGGGGGUAGAGCACUGUUUCGGCAAGGGGGUCAUCCCGACUUACCAACCCGAUGCAAACUGCGAAUACCGGAGAAUGUUAUCACGGGAGACACACGGCGGGUGCUAACGUCCGUCGUGAAGAGGGAAACAACCCAGACCGCCAGCUAAGGUCCCAAAGUCAUGGUUAAGUGGGAAACGAUGUGGGAAGGCCCAGACAGCCAGGAUGUUGGCUUAGAAGCAGCCAUCAUUUAAAGAAAGCGUAAUAGCUCACUGGUCGAGUCGGCCUGCGCGGAAGAUGUAACGGGGCUAAACCAUGCACCGAAGCUGCGGCAGCGACACUAUGUGUUGUUGGGUAGGGGAGCGUUCUGUAAGCCUGUGAAGGUGGCCUGUGAGGGUUGCUGGAGGUAUCAGAAGUGCGAAUGCUGACAUAAGUAA